AUCAAAUCGUAGUUUUGCUCCGUAGUUAUCGAACUUUCUUCUGUAUCACUGCAUCUAACUGUCACCCAACUUUCUUCCUUCACCCAAUCAGGUUUCAAAGAACCUGAUAUUCCCUCAUCACCAAUCAGCCGUGUGAUCCUAUCUGCAGGGGAAUCAACGGUGAUGCUUGACUCUAAUGAAGAAGAUUCCAUCACCUCAAACGAAUUCCAAAAGCCUUGAUCCAAAAUACUAGUGGGAGAAUCCCUCUUCAAGUUUUCAACUUUCCAAGAAUUAGACUCUAAAGAUUGCAAAAAUGGGUGUUGAAGAAGUUGUUUAGCUGUCCAUCGUUCUUUUGGGUCUUUUAUCAAACACUUUGCUAAAAAUUCUCUAGCAUCGUUGGAUAAACAAUUUGGGAAUUGAGGCACAUCCCCUGAAUAACCAAUUCUAUACAGAGCCGAAACAGGAUCCUUCAUAUCAGUCCAAGGAGGUGACCCUGUAGCCAUUUCAAUAAUAGUACACCCAAAAGCCCAAAUAUCAGCUGUAAAUCUUUGUUCUUCGCCUCGAGCAACUUCAGGUGCCAUAAAAGCCGGCGUGCCAGAUAUUCCAGAAUCCCCAGAAUUUUCAUCUCGUAGCAAUUUCCCACAUCCCAAAUCUGCAAUCUUGAUACCAUCUUGACCAAUUAAAAUGUUUUGACCCUUUAUGUCACAAUGUACAACCCCAAUUGAGUUGUGCCAGAAAUUCCAGAAUCCCCAGAAUUUUCAUCUCGUAGCAAUUUCCCACAUCCCAAAUCUGCAAUCUUGAUACCAUCUUGACCAAUUAAAAUGUUUUGACCCUUUAUGUCACAAUGUACAACCCCAAUUGAGUGAAGAUAAUCCAAGCCCUGUAGAAUUUGUUGAGCGUAAGAUUUAGUCACGGACUCAUUCAAGGAACCUCCUUGUUUCAUGAUCAAAUCAGAAAGAGUGCCACCUGGUAUAUACUCCAUGAACAUGUUGUAAGUGGUCUUAUUGUGCUCACUAGUAAUGUCAAAGCCAAAGCAAUUGACUAAAAAUGGUGAAUUGAGCUGAGAAAUUAGAGAGUACUCUCUUUGUAAUAUGCUAGAACAAGAUAGCUCAGUGG
Molecule: long non-coding RNA, 1095 nt
Filed under: Nicotiana benthamiana
Lineage: Eukaryota; Viridiplantae; Streptophyta; Magnoliopsida; Solanales; Solanaceae
Description: long non-coding RNA (NBEN_LNC014358)
Source: RNAcentral